GAUGAAUGCUGGCGGCGCGCCUAACACAUGCAAGUCGAGCGGAAAGGCCCUUCGGGGUACUCGAGCGGCGGACGGCUGAGUAACGCGUGGGAACAUGCCCCAAAGUGAGGAGUAACUGCCCGAAAGGGUAGCUAAUGCCGCAUAUGAUCUUAGGAUUAAAGGAUUUAUCCGCUUUGGGAGUGGCCCGCGUACGAUUAGGUAGUUGGUGAGGUAAAGGCUCACCAAGCCUACGAUCGUUAACUGGUCUGAGAGGAUGAUCAGUCAGACUGGAACUGAGACACGGUCCAGACUCCUACGGGAGGCAGCAGUGAGGAAUCUUCCACAAUGGGCGAAAGCCUGAUGGAGCGACGCCGCGUGCAGGAUGAAGGCCUUCGGGUUGUAAACUGCUUUUAUAAGUGAAGAAUAUGACGGUAACUUAUGAAUAAGCACCGGCUAACUACGUGCCAGCCGCCGCGGUAA
RNAcentral lists this ribosomal RNA (459 nucleotides) under uncultured bacterium. Its description in RNAcentral is "partial 16S ribosomal RNA". It matches the Rfam family "Bacterial small subunit ribosomal RNA", at positions 28 to 523 of the family's 1533-position model. The record is from RNAcentral.